CCUCUGGAACACUGUCUACACGUCCCCUGACCAUUACUGUCUGGAAGAGAGCAUAAAGCCAGCAGAGAAAGGCUUGCUCCAUCACCUGUCAACUCACCCAAUUCCGGAACUGGUUGAAUGUCCUGGAGGGACAGAUGGAACAUUUUCUCUCCUCGAAGAACAUCUCGGUGGCAUUUUCAGAGAUGAAAUGAAGUCUUCCCUCUGAUUGGAAAAUCAGUGUUGGUUCAUACAGACAGGCACAUCCCUACAAAUGUCUUUUGUCUGCCGAUGACGCACCACUUACGUCAGUUGCCUGCCAGAUACGUGGAAAAUGACGGUUCUGUACUACAGGUUUUCAUUCCUAUUAAAUGCUAUGGCAUGUGAUCUUGAACAAACGUUUGUAGUCAAUGUUUGAUCAAAAGCCCGAUUCGAUCAAGUAAAUAAAGCAUUAGAAAAAAUAAUUUCCUUCCUUUUG
Long non-coding RNA from Bos indicus x Bos taurus (hybrid cattle), 454 nucleotides. The record is from Ensembl. NCBI's taxonomy places the organism in Eukaryota, Metazoa, Chordata, Mammalia, Artiodactyla, Bovidae.